RNAcentral lists this ribosomal RNA (371 nucleotides) under uncultured organism. Its description in RNAcentral is "bacterial SSU rRNA". It matches the Rfam family "Bacterial small subunit ribosomal RNA", at positions 526 to 896 of the family's 1533-position model. The record is from RNAcentral.
CAGAGACUGCGAGCGUUAUUCGGAUUCACUGGGCGUAAAGGGUGCGUAGGCGGCCGUGUGUGUGAGGCGUGAAAGCCCGGGGCUUAACCCCGGAAUUGCACCUCAAACUACAUGGCUAGAGCAUUGGAGAGGGUAGCAGAAUUCAUGGUGUAGCAGUGAAAUGCGUAGAUAUCAUGAGGAAUACCAGAGGCGAAGGCGGCUACCUGGACAAUUGCUGACGCUCAGGCACGAAAGCGUGGGGAGCAAAAGGGAUUAGAUACCCCUGUAGUCCACGCCCUAAACGGCGCACACUAGGUCUUGGCGGAUUCGACCCCCCAGGGCCCCAGCUAACGCGUUAAGUGUGCCGCCUGAGGACUACGGCCGCAAGGCUA